GGCAACAUGGACGAGUGGUAAGGCAGAGGACUGCAAAUCCUUUUUUCCCCAGUUCAAAUUUGGGUGUCAUCU
RNAcentral lists this transfer RNA (72 nucleotides) under Datura stramonium (jimsonweed). RNAcentral describes it as "tRNA-Cys". It matches the Rfam family "tRNA". Rfam says of the family: Transfer RNA (tRNA) molecules are approximately 80 nucleotides in length. Their secondary structure includes four short double-helical elements and three loops (D, anti-codon, and T loops). Lineage: Eukaryota; Viridiplantae; Streptophyta; Magnoliopsida; Solanales; Solanaceae. The record is from RNAcentral.